GUAAUAAUUGUGGACUAGUUGGGAUGGUGCUCAAUGGAGGGUAAAGAAAAGGGGCACACUUUGACUAUGGUGGAGUAAAAACCACUAAGAAUAUAAACAACUAUUUUUACGUUUAUGGCCGAAAGAACUUCUGAUUUGGAGCUGAGUUUAGUUGAAAGACUGGAUAUACUCUUUCUCAAAUUAUUUCCUAACUAGUUCUUUUAUUGUCACUAAAAGCCAGUUCAAUACAACAAUGGAUGAGCCGUUGGGUUCAUGGGUGUAUUGAAACACCUAUUCGGGAAGUUAAAAUUG
Molecule: unclassified non-coding RNA, 291 nt
Filed under: Hevea brasiliensis (rubber tree)
Lineage: Eukaryota; Viridiplantae; Streptophyta; Magnoliopsida; Malpighiales; Euphorbiaceae
Source: RNAcentral